UAUUUUUGUGUUACACAGUUGGUCUCAUAAAUAGUUGGUAAACCAAUUACUAAAUUACAAGUAUCAUCGAAGUCAAUAAUAAAUAAAUAUAAUAUUGGAGCAGUUUUGAAAACAAUAUUUUUAUACCACUUAUCAAAAUGGAGCUCAACUCUAUAAUGUUUCACCAAUCGGAUGUGAUUCUUUCAUCUAAUCUCCAACAUUAUUUGUCCUUCAUUUAUAUAGUUGACUAGAGAGGCUAUGCAAACUGGAAUCCGGGAUGUAGACUCACUGAGUCACUGGUGAUAAUUGGUACAGUAGAUAAUAUAAGUUGAUCGUUGAUGAUGGACCGAUCGGAAAGAGUUUUUUGGCUAUUGAGACUAUUAUUAAUUAAGAGCGUUUCGAUUAUGCUGGUGCGGAGAAGAAAAAGUUCUGUAUCUACAUUGCUAUCGGUCAAAUGAGAUCUACAGUAACUUGGAUCGUGAAAAUAGUGACGGCACUGCUAUUAACUAUUCUAUCAUCGUAUUCGAUACCGUGUCUGAUGCUGCUCUUUUCUUACACUUUUUUGCCAUGUGCCAUGGCAGAACUUUUUUUUUGUGACAACGGCAAACAUGUCUUCAUUAUUUAUGAUGAUUUGUCAAAAUCGGUAAUUGCUUACCAUUAAAUACUUUUAUUUUUGAGACGACCUUUAGGAAAUGAUGCUUAGCCUCGUCAUGUAUUCUAUAUUCAUUCUCGUUUUCUUGAAAGAGCAGUAAAAUCCAUUAAAUGUACAUAAAUAAUUGAGUUCGGACCGUCAAUAAUUUCCAGAUGUUUCAUCAAAAAAAUAAUAGUUAAAAAAAAAUGCCUUUAGUUUUCCAAAUUUUCAGUUAAGUAUUUAUAAUUUUUUUCAUAAAUAAUUCGUAAAAACAGAUCAAAAAUCAUUAUAUAACUGUCAGUUUUUAUUACUGAGUAGUAUGACAUUGAAAUUCAUAGGCCUCGACCAUUUUUGGAUAUUUUGGAAAAUGAAUUAUUUAAAGAAAAAGUUGUUUUUUGGAAUAUCUAGAUGUAUACGUUUUUAUUAAAAGUUUUUUAUAAAUUUUUUCUGAAAAAACAACAAAAUUAUUAUGUUUAUUUGUUUCUAUUGCUGAGUAGUAAAUACGAAUCAUAUUUUUUGUUAAUAAAAGAAUUUUGUUUUAAGUUUGAUUCAGAAUUACAAUAACCAAGUUAGUUUUUCCAUCCAUCAUGGCAAAAUACGAGGACUCGUCAAAUUACUUUAAUCAUCCAUGGGAUCCAAUGACUUUGAGGCAUACGUAAACAUAGUUGCAUUUCAACAAGGUAAAUUUUAAAUUGUUUAUGAACCUGACAUUUACAAUCUAAUGAUAAUCAUAUUUGUUUUAGCAAGUAAAUUAUAUCAAGAAAAAAUUUAUUUUUUAAUUCAACUUAUAAAUAUUCAAUUUUGACAUGUAUCCAUUUCAUAAAUUUUUUUCUUUAUUAUAAUUUAUUUAUUCAAAAAGAAAAAAAAUUGUUUAUUACAUGUCUAUACCAGUAAGAUAAAAAAAGUCUCAGAUCAUUGUAAUUGUUGGCUGAGGCGAAGCUGAGGCUGACAAACUUGUGAUCUGAGACUUUUUGUAUUUUACUGGCCUAGGUAUCAUAGUUUUAAACAUUUUUCUUCGCUCGGCUUGCAGUGGCCUUGUAACUUCAUCAUGAACUUCAAAACGAGUAUCCCGGCAUCGAAAAUUAAUAAAAACAGAACCUUUGUCCCCAGGAUUGUUUUCGAUGUAACCAAAAAUAGGAUUAUUGCACACUUUACUUUUGCACUUGCCAAUAAAUGUCGCAUAAUAAUUUCCAUUUUCAUGAAUUGUGCCUUUUUUAAAUACAAAGGCACACGGUAGUUCAAACUGAUGCCAUAAUUCAAAGGCAAUAGUGUCAGUCCACACUUUCGGCUGUAACCUAGGAUUUUUACAACUAUUGUCUUUUUUAUACAUACAUUCCCAAACACCUCUAGCAAUUUCAACAUGAAAACAUGGAACAUCAUCCCGCUCUUUAGCAUAUAGUUUAUUAAAAUAAUCCUUAUCGCUAUUAUCAUCACUGUCAUCAUUAUCAUUAUUAUCAUUGCUGUCAUUGUCAUCAUCAUCAUUAUUACUAUAAGUGAAUUUUUUCUUAAUUAUUUGGGAAAAAUAUCCACAUUCUUUUCUUGCUCUAGUCAAAAUCCCCCUACGAUUGUCUUUUAUGUUGGUCCUAACUGCUGCAGUAUUCCAUUUACCCACAAAUUCUGGUUCCUUGGACAUUUUCGACCAUACCUCAGCAGAGUAUGCUGGCAAGGUAUCUGAACAGAAGUAGCUCAUAUAUCUUUUUAUAACAGCUAUUGAGUCCUCAUCUGAUACAAGCAGUGGUCUCGGCAUUAUUGAGUUAAUGAUUGAUAAAACC
This is a long non-coding RNA of Microplitis demolitor, 2382 nucleotides long. RefSeq lists it as uncharacterized. NCBI's taxonomy places the organism in Eukaryota, Metazoa, Arthropoda, Insecta, Hymenoptera, Braconidae. The transcript is spliced from 4 exons. The record is from RefSeq and is a predicted model, not a curated record.